CUGCCCUGUUUGGGGGCUAUAACAUGGAGUUUUUGAUCAUUUUCCAGGCCCAAACAAACAAAGCUCUGCUCACCAGCCAGGGAAUGCAGAGACCCAACUCUUUUGUGUGUGAGAGAGACUCUGUGCAUGAGAGGGAGAGUUUGUGCGUAAACACCAAGGGAGACUGAUUGCUCCCCCAAAGCUUCCAGCUUCGAAGUGUUUGUUAAGAUUUUGGUGGGAAUAUCUUUCUCCUCUCUUUUGCUUGUUUCUAGGAGGAGAGGAGAGCGCAGAGGAGGUUGCUUCAGAAUCUUUGACCAGCUAGGAAGAAUAAAUUCCUGCACCCAGAGGCCAAAAACAGAUGACUCUCCUCUCCCAAUGUCAUUUGCACUCCAGGGCCAGCCAAGAGGGAUGAAAGAACAAGGAUGGAGGGAAAGAUCUCAGCUCUUUGUGACUGUCAGUACCUCCUACCUAGGUACAGCCAAAGGGCAAGAUUGCAAUUGCCAAAUGCCAGCCCACAAGAGAGAUGAGGUGAUGCAUCAAGAAAAAAAUUUGGUUUUUUUUUCUUUAUGAGUGCCACUUUUCUGGAGCUAGCCUGCCUCUGCUGCACUUCUGCCUGCCUUUUCUCUGCUGCACACAAGUCCCAGGAAGAGGCAUUUGUGGUGCUGGUUAUUUGUUAGGUGGUCUCUUGGCUUGGACCAUGAUUUCAGUUAUUCUAUCAACUAAUUUUGUUUAGUGUCAAAUUGGUUAACAUUUUCCUCUUCCACUUUACAGACAGGAGAUUGCACAAAUGAUGAAACUAAUUUUUACGAAUCAUUCCGUGGAUCAUGGGCAGACAAGGAUACUUUUGUAUUGUUUGCUGGUUUGCAGUUUUCUGUUCUGGAUUUCACGGAUAAACAAGAAAUCUAGCAAAGUAAGCACAUGAAUAUUGGCAGAUACUUGAAGCUAUGGACUUUCAUAAAAGAAAAAUAUAAAAUAUAAAUGUGUUGAAGUGGACAGUAUAUGUUUUGAUUUUAUAAAAUUUAUAAACAAAAGUGUAUGGUCUAGUGGUUUA
RNAcentral lists this long non-coding RNA (1030 nucleotides) under Selaginella moellendorffii. RNAcentral describes it as "long non-coding RNA (SMOE_LNC000621)". The record is from RNAcentral. Lineage: Eukaryota; Viridiplantae; Streptophyta; Lycopodiopsida; Selaginellales; Selaginellaceae.